Molecule: ribosomal RNA, 540 nt
Filed under: Triticum aestivum (bread wheat)
Lineage: Eukaryota; Viridiplantae; Streptophyta; Magnoliopsida; Poales; Poaceae
Description: partial small subunit ribosomal RNA
Source: RNAcentral
AUGGGGACGAAGAAGAGAUGCAUCGUUCCUAGCAUCCUGCUGAUGCUAGCACUGCAGUCGGCAGCCCUCCUCGUCGCCGGCGACGUGGGCGCCAUUCUCCUGCCGAGCAAAGGCCAAGUUGCAGACGAAGCAGCCAUGGCGGCGGCCAAGAAGAGGCCGUGGAAGUGCUGCGACAAGGCCUUCUGCACCAGAUCCAUCCCGCCGAUCUGCCGCUGCAUGGACGAGCUCUUCGAGUGCCCCUCCACCUGCAAGUCCUGCGGGCCGUCCAUGGCUGACCCGUCCCGCCUCGUCUGCCAGGACCAGUACGUCGGCGACCCGGGGCCCAUCUGCAGGCCGUGGGAGUGCUGCGACCUGCCCCGGGGCACCAGGUCAAACCCGCCGACGUGUCAAUGCCUCGACGAGGUCGACAAAUGUUCCCCAACCUGCAAGACAUGCCUGCCGUCCAGGUCGCGCCCUUCCCGCCGCGUCUGCAUCGACAGCUACUUUGGACCCUUCCCGCCCGCGUGCACGCCCAAGGCUGUCGCCGCCGGCGGGAACUAG